This 253-nucleotide ribosomal RNA is filed under the name uncultured bacterium. RNAcentral's name for it is "partial 16S ribosomal RNA". It matches the Rfam family "Bacterial small subunit ribosomal RNA", at positions 524 to 776 of the family's 1533-position model. The record is from RNAcentral.
UACGUAGGGUGCGAGCGUUAAUCGGAAUUACUGGGCGUAAAGCGUGCGCAGGCGGUUUUGUAAGCCAGAUGUGAAAGCCCCGGGCUUAACCUGGGAAUGGCAUUUGGGACUGCAAGGCUUGAGUGCGGCAGAGGAGACUGGAAUUCCUGGUGUAGCAGUGAAAUGCGUAGAUAUCAGGAGGAAUACCGAUGGCGAAGGCAGGUCUCUGGGCCGACACUGACGCUCAUGCACGAAAGCGUGGGGAGCAAACAGG